GAGAAGGAGGGAAACCAAGUCUUAAUAGGGCGGAAUAGUCAGUCAGAGUAGACCCGAAACCGGGUGAUCUACCCAUGUCCAGGUUGAAGUUGCCGUAAAAGGCAAUGGAGGACCGAACGCACAUCCGUUGAAAAGGGUGGCGAUGAGGUGUGGAUAGGGGAGAAAUUCCAAUCGAACUCGGAGAUAGCUGGUUCUCCUCGAAAUAGUUUUAGGACUAGCCUGUCAGGAGUCUGCUGGAGGUAGAGCACUGAAUUUUUGCGGGGGCGUCAAAGCCUACCAAUGAAUAUCAAACUCCGAAUGCCAG
RNAcentral lists this ribosomal RNA (304 nucleotides) under Escherichia coli. RNAcentral describes it as "partial 23S ribosomal RNA". It matches the Rfam family "Bacterial large subunit ribosomal RNA", at positions 663 to 966 of the family's 2925-position model. The record is from RNAcentral. Lineage: Bacteria; Pseudomonadati; Pseudomonadota; Gammaproteobacteria; Enterobacterales; Enterobacteriaceae.